GAUGAACGUUGGCGGCGUGCCUAACACAUGCAAGUCGAACGAAAGUAGCAAUACUUUAGUGGCGCACGGGUGAGUAACACGUAGCUUACCUCCCUCUCAGCGCGGGAUAACGACUCGAAAGAGUUGCUAAUACCGCAUAAGCUCACGGGUCCUAGAGACUUGUGAGAAAAGGUGCAAAUCACUGAGAGACGGGGCUGCGGCCCAUCAGCUAGUUGGCGCGGUAAAGGCGCACCAAGGCGACGACGGGUAGGGGACCU
RNAcentral lists this ribosomal RNA (257 nucleotides) under uncultured bacterium. RNAcentral's name for it is "partial 16S ribosomal RNA". It matches the Rfam family "Bacterial small subunit ribosomal RNA", at positions 28 to 293 of the family's 1533-position model. The record is from RNAcentral.